This 251-nucleotide ribosomal RNA is filed under the name uncultured bacterium. RNAcentral describes it as "partial 16S ribosomal RNA". It matches the Rfam family "Bacterial small subunit ribosomal RNA", at positions 524 to 776 of the family's 1533-position model. The record is from RNAcentral.
UACGUAGGCAGCGAGCGUUGUUCGGAAUUACUGGGCGUAAAGAGUGUGUAGGCGGUGCUCUAAGUUCGGUGUGAAAUCUCCUGCUUAACUGGGAGGGUGCGCCGGAAACUGGGGUGCUCGAGCGUGGGAGAGGAAAGCGGAAUUCCUGGUGUAGCGGUGAAAUGCGUAGAUAUCAGGAGGAACACCUGUGGUGUAGACAGCUUUCUGGACCAUGCUGACGCUGAGACACGAAAGCGUGGGUAGCAAACAGG